CAAAGAAUAGUUUAAAUAAAAUAAUAAUUUUGGAGAUUAUAGAUAUUAAAAAAUAUUUUCUUUGA
This 65-nucleotide transfer RNA is filed under the name Anisocentropus maculatus. Its description in RNAcentral is "tRNA-Pro". Lineage: Eukaryota; Metazoa; Arthropoda; Insecta; Trichoptera; Calamoceratidae. The record is from RNAcentral.